CCGACCUUAGCUCAGCUGGAAGAGCACGAGACUGUAAUUGGUUGCAUUGAAUCUCGGGGUCGCCUGUUCGAGCCAGGCAGGUCGGA
Coprinopsis cinerea okayama7#130 is the source of this 86-nucleotide non-coding RNA. The record is from the annotation of a RefSeq genome assembly. NCBI's taxonomy places the organism in Eukaryota, Fungi, Basidiomycota, Agaricomycetes, Agaricales, Psathyrellaceae.